GCAUAGAAUGCAGAAUAUUUACUCACAACUUUCUGCUGGAGUAUUUUCUUGUGGCAAAAGGAAUAUUGUUGUUGGGUCAGAUAGCACUAAUGGCUGCAACUUUUUGCUACAGAAUAUUCCUGAUGAGCAGUUAGUAAGUAACAAGAAGGGGGUUGGUCCGUCUGUUGUGCUUACUUCGGCACACACGGCCAUGAAUAUGCCAGCGGCAUGUUGCUGGUCCAUGCCUGCAUUCCAGGGACAGAGGAGUUUUGCAUUUGAAAGGGAGGGCCAGCCGAUGGAUGAUGUAAGGAAGAUUGAACGCAGUUUGCAUAUUGGGGCGGGGCAAGUAAAAUUGCCCAUCCCACCGGAGAAGAAACUGAUGCCUCCGGGGAAAGGUUCGAAUUUUUUUCCAUUAUACAAAAACAAUUCAGACUCACCUGCUUUUGUUCGUAGAAGUGCACGCUUUAUUGCCUUAUCUAAAGAUGGAUCUACUCAUGUAGAUGAGGAUUCUACUUUGAAGGCUAUGAAGAGGGCUUCUCGUCGCAAUCUUGAUGGCGAUUUGAGUGGAUUCAAGCCGGCUGGUCAAGCGCUACGCACGGUGUCCACUUCAUCUCUUCCGAUUGGGCCGUUUCAGUCAGGUAUGGAGCAAGCUUCGGCUGUCACUGCUAUCAAUGAUCUGUCAAAUCUUUCUUGUGCCAGUAAGCUAAAAAAGAUAGGAUUCAUGUUGGGCGAUGAUGAGUUUGCAGUUAAUAGAUCGAUCAAUGGUUUAAAAAAAUGGAAUUGGAUAGGAAGGCUACUAAUUCACACACUACUCUUGAAUCACCCAGCUUGGAAGAGAGCAAUACAGGUAACUCUUGCUCGGUGAGUGAUGAGGAGGUUGAUGAAAUAAACAAUGACCUCUUAACUCACCUACUAAAGGAUGUAGCUGAUGCGAACUUUGACGAUGUAGACCUGGACACAAAAAUUUGUGAUCUUAUGGCAUCUGCAAGACAGUCAAAAAAGCGCCCUAAAAAUCAUAAAAGCCAAUAUGGUGGGGGUAUGUCGAAACAAAAAAUGAA
RNAcentral lists this unclassified non-coding RNA (1037 nucleotides) under Zea mays. Its description in RNAcentral is "misc RNA Zm00001eb207320". The record is from RNAcentral. Lineage: Eukaryota; Viridiplantae; Streptophyta; Magnoliopsida; Poales; Poaceae.